This 492-nucleotide ribosomal RNA is filed under the name uncultured bacterium. RNAcentral describes it as "partial 16S ribosomal RNA". It matches the Rfam family "Bacterial small subunit ribosomal RNA", at positions 29 to 507 of the family's 1533-position model. The record is from RNAcentral.
AUUGAACGCUGGCGGCAUGCUUUACACAUGCCAGUCGAGCGGUAACAGGCCUUCGGGUGCUGACGAGUGGCGAACGGGUGAGUAAUGCAUCGGAACGUACCCAGAGGUGGGGGAUAACGCAGCGAAAGCUGUGCUAAUACCGCAUGUGAUCUGAGGAUGAAAGCGGGGGACCGAGCAGCAAUGUUUGGCCUCGCGCCUUUGGAGCGGCCGAUGUCGGAUUAGCUAGUUGGUGGGGUAAAGGCCUACCAAGGCGACGAUCCGUAGCUGGUCUGAGAGGACGACCAGCCACACUGGGACUGAGACACGGCCCAGACUCCUACGGGAGGCAGCAGUGGGGAAUUUUGGACAAUGGGCGCAAGCCUGAUCCAGCAAUGCCGCGUGCGGGAAGAAGGCCUUCGGGUUGUAAACCGCUUUUGGCAGGAACGAAACGGUGUCCGCUAAUACCGGGCGCUAAUGACGGUACCUGCAGAAUAAGCACCGGCUAACUACGUG